RNAcentral lists this ribosomal RNA (253 nucleotides) under uncultured bacterium. RNAcentral describes it as "partial 16S ribosomal RNA". It matches the Rfam family "Bacterial small subunit ribosomal RNA", at positions 524 to 776 of the family's 1533-position model. The record is from RNAcentral.
UACGAAGGGGGCUAGCGUUGUUCGGAAUUACUGGGCGUAAAGCGCACGUAGGCGGGUUGUUAAGUCAGGGGUGAAAUCCUGGAGCUCAACUCCAGAACUGCCUUUGAUACUGGCAACCAAGAGACUGGAAGAGGUUAGUGGAAUUCCCAGUGUAGAGGUGAAAUUCGUAGAUAUUGGGAAGAACACCAGUGGCGAAGGCGGCUAACUGGUCCAGCACUGACGCUGAGGUGCGAAAGCGUGGGGAGCAAACAGG